CCUACGGGGGGCUGCAGUGAGGAAUAUUGGUCAAUGGGCGCGAGCCUGAACCAGCCAAGUAGCGUGAAGGAAGACGGCUCUAUGAGUUGUAAACUGCUUUUGUACAAGGGUAAACCUGAAUACGUGUAUUCAGUUGAAAGUACUGUAUGAAUAAGGAUCGGCUAACUCCGUGCCAGCAGCCGCGGUAAUACGGAGGAUCCAAGCGUUAUCCGGAUUUAUUGGGUUUAAAGGGAGCGUAGAUGGGUUGUUAAGUCAGUUGUGAAAGUUUGCGGCUCAACCGUAAAAUUGCAAUUGAUACUGGCAGUCUUGAGUACAGUUGAGGUGGGCGGAAUUCGUGGUGUAGCGGUGAAAUGCUUAGAUAUCACGAAGAACUCCGAUUGCGAAGGCAGCUUACUAAACUGCCACUGACAUUGAUGCUCGAAAGUGUGGGUAUCAAACAGGAUUAGAUACCCUGGUAGUC
Molecule: ribosomal RNA, 460 nt
Filed under: uncultured bacterium
Lineage: Bacteria
Description: partial 16S ribosomal RNA
Rfam family: Bacterial small subunit ribosomal RNA
Source: RNAcentral